UCUUAAGUAGUUUAAUUAAAAAUGGUGAUUUGUGGCGUCAUCGAUGUGUGUUUACAUCUUAGGUA
Molecule: transfer RNA, 65 nt
Filed under: Calopteryx splendens (banded demoiselle)
Lineage: Eukaryota; Metazoa; Arthropoda; Insecta; Odonata; Calopterygidae
Description: tRNA-His
Source: RNAcentral